RNAcentral lists this ribosomal RNA (305 nucleotides) under uncultured Glomus. Its description in RNAcentral is "SSU rRNA". It matches the Rfam family "Eukaryotic small subunit ribosomal RNA", at positions 790 to 1092 of the family's 1831-position model. The record is from RNAcentral. Lineage: Eukaryota; Fungi; Glomeromycota; Glomeromycetes; Glomerales; Glomeraceae.
AACGCUUGAAUACAUUAGCAUGGAAUAAUGGAUAGGACGUUGUACCUAUUUUGUUGGUUUCUAGGAUUGACGUAAUGAUUAAUAGGGAUAGUUGGGGGCAUUAGUAUUCAAUUGUCAGAGGUGAAAUUCUUGGAUUUAUUGAAGACUAACUACUGCGAAAGCAUUUGCCAAGGAUGUUUUCAUUAAUCAAGAACGAAAGUUAGGGGAUCGAAGACGAUCAGAUACCGUCGUAGUCUUAACCAUAAACUAUGCCGACUAGGGAUCGGAUGAUGUUAAUUUUUUAAUGACUCAUUCGGCGCCUUACG